Molecule: long non-coding RNA, 270 nt
Filed under: Elaeis guineensis (African oil palm)
Lineage: Eukaryota; Viridiplantae; Streptophyta; Magnoliopsida; Arecales; Arecaceae
Description: long non-coding RNA (EGUI_LNC013956)
Source: RNAcentral
CUUCCUCGACUCCUCCACCUCUAUGCUGACGAAUGUUGGCCACUGGCACAAAGAUAGGUUGGCCAUCCAGUUAUCCCUAAUGAUGUCCACGGACUAUUCGUCACUUAUCCACCAAGUGAUCAAAGCCAAAACUUAUGGGGUGUGAGAACGGAUCUCCUUCUACAUGAAGGAGCAGUGUCGAGUGACAUGAAUGUCCUCCCCGAUGGUCUAAGCACCAUAUCUCAUUCGCAUCAUGAUGCUCUAGAUACUGGCAAGCUGAAGAAGGAACCU